GGAGAGGUGGCCGAGCGGUUGAAGGCGGCGCUCUUGAAAAGCGUUGAGUCGCAAGACUUCGUGGGUUCGAAUCCCACCCUCUCCGCCA
Molecule: transfer RNA, 88 nt
Filed under: Candidatus Limnocylindrales bacterium
Lineage: Bacteria; Bacillati; Chloroflexota; Candidatus Limnocylindria; Candidatus Limnocylindrales
Description: tRNA-Ser
Rfam family: tRNA
About the family: Transfer RNA (tRNA) molecules are approximately 80 nucleotides in length. Their secondary structure includes four short double-helical elements and three loops (D, anti-codon, and T loops). Further hydrogen bonds mediate the characteristic L-shaped molecular structure. tRNAs have two regions of fundamental functional importance: the anti-codon, which is responsible for specific mRNA codon recognition, and the 3' end, to which the tRNAs corresponding amino acid is attached (by aminoacyl-tRNA synthetases). tRNAs cope with the degeneracy of the genetic code in two manners: having more than one tRNA (with a specific anti-codon) for a particular amino acid; and 'wobble' base-pairing, i.e. permitting non-standard base-pairing at the 3rd anti-codon position.
Source: RNAcentral